UUUGGGGGCGGUGUUUACAGACUGGACUGAUUCUUCUCUGUCGCCGCCCUGCUCUAUGCUGGGUUUCCGAGCCACCGAAGUUUUCCAGCUAUGUUCAGAAAACGAAAACACAGCUCAGGAAGCCUCCACCAGCAGUUGCCUAUGCCAGUUCACCUCUGGCAGUGGCUGUACUGCUGGUCCACGCAGCAGCCAAGACCAGCUCCACGUUCUUCCCUCCCCCUCAGUUCACUGGAGCCGGGAGCCCUGCACUCAGGGAAAGGGCCUCAGCUCUACAGACUGCCAAAGUCCGCUGUGUCCCUCCGCUCCAAAAAUGGUGAGAAAGGAACCCAUCUUUUUCACAGAGGAACCGGGAACAG
Rattus norvegicus (Norway rat) is the source of this 356-nucleotide non-coding RNA. Lineage: Eukaryota; Metazoa; Chordata; Mammalia; Rodentia; Muridae. The record is from Rfam.